RNAcentral lists this ribosomal RNA (497 nucleotides) under uncultured bacterium. Its description in RNAcentral is "partial 16S ribosomal RNA". It matches the Rfam family "Bacterial small subunit ribosomal RNA", at positions 28 to 507 of the family's 1533-position model. The record is from RNAcentral.
GAUGAACGCUGGCGGCGUGCCUAAUACAUGCAAGUCGAGCGAACGGACGAGAAGCUUGCUUCUCUGAUGUUAGCGGCGGACGGGUGAGUAACACGUGGAUAACCUACCUAUAAGACUGGGAUAACUUCGGGAAACCGGAGCUAAUACCGGAUGAUAUUUUGAACCGCAUGGUUCAAAAGUGAAAGACGGUCUUGCUGUCACUUAUAGAUGGAUCCGCGCUGCAUUAGCUAGUUGGUAAGGUAACGGCUUACCAAGGCAACGAUGCAUAGCCGACCUGAGAGGGUGAUCGGCCACACUGGAACUGAGACACGGUCCGGACUCCUACGGGAGGCAGCAGUAGGGAAUCUUCCGCAAUGGGCGAAAGCCUGACGGAGCAACGCCGCGUGAGUGAUGAAGGUCUUCGGAUCGUAAAACUCUGUUAUUAGGGAAGAACAUACGUGUAAGUAACUGUGCACAUCUUGACGGUACCUAAUCAGAAAGCCACGGCUAACUACGUG